GACGAACGCUGGCGGCGUGCCUAAUACAUGAAAGUCGAGCGAAGCGGCGGAUGGGUGAGUAACGCGUGGGUAAACUGCCCUUAAGUCUGGGAUAACAUUUGGAAACAGAUGCUAAUACCGGAUACUAACGGAUGGACCUGCGAUGCAUUAGAUAGUUGGUAAGGUAACGGCUUACCAAGGCGAUGAUGCAUAUGCUAGGUGAGAGACUGAUCGGCCACAUGGGGACUGAAACACGGCCCAAACUCCUAGGUGAGGCAGGAGUAGGGAAUCUUCCACAAUGGACGAAAGUCUGAUGUAUCAACGCCGCGUGAGUGAAGAGGGUUUUCGGAUCGUAAAGCUCUGUUGUUGGUGAAGCGGUAAUCAACCAGAAAGUCACGGCUAACUCCGGGCCAGCAGCCGCGUAAUUC
RNAcentral lists this ribosomal RNA (407 nucleotides) under uncultured bacterium. Its description in RNAcentral is "partial 16S ribosomal RNA". It matches the Rfam family "Bacterial small subunit ribosomal RNA", at positions 28 to 526 of the family's 1533-position model. The record is from RNAcentral.